This 283-nucleotide long non-coding RNA is filed under the name Phoenix dactylifera (date palm). RNAcentral's name for it is "long non-coding RNA (PDAC_LNC022241)". Lineage: Eukaryota; Viridiplantae; Streptophyta; Magnoliopsida; Arecales; Arecaceae. The record is from RNAcentral.
UUUUUUUAAUUAAAAUCUAAUUUAAGAUACAUAAAUGAUAAGAAUUUCAAAGCACACACGGUUUUAUUUACUAAGUCAGCCCAAAUUCUAGAUUAGUAUGCAAUCUAAGUUAAAGUCAUUAAGUUUCCGUUUAGGGAGUUGUAAGACUUAUUUAUACUGGAGUGCUCGGUGAAAUCUGGACCGUACACAAGCUAAGGGUUCGAAUCUCUAAAAUAUUGUUAAUACUAGUAGUUUCCAAGGAUUGGUCGAAAAGACCUACUCACUGAUUCAAAAUCAUCUUAUC